UGAGGAAUAUUGGUCAAUGGACGGAAGUCUGAACCAGCCAAGUAGCGUGCAGGAUGACGGCCCUAUGGGUUGUAAACUGCUUUUGUAUGGGGAUAAAGUUAGGGACGUGUCCCUAUUUGCAGGUACCAUACGAAUAAGGACCGGCUAAUUCCGUGCCAGCAGCCGCGGUAAUACGGAAGGUCCAGGCGUUAUCCGGAUUUAUUGGGUUUAAAGGGAGCGUAGGCUGGAGAUUAAGUGUGUUGUGAAAUGUAGACGCUCAACGUCUGAAUUGCAGCGCAUACUGGUUUCCUUGAGUACGCACAACGUUGGCGGAAUUCGUCGUGUAGCGGUGAAAUGCUUAGAUAUGACGAAGAACUCCGAUUGCGAAGGCAGCUGACGGGAGCGCAACUGACGCUGAAGCUCGAAGGUGCGGGUAUCGAACAGG
This 424-nucleotide ribosomal RNA is filed under the name Verrucomicrobiota bacterium. RNAcentral describes it as "Verrucomicrobia bacterium partial 16S ribosomal RNA". It matches the Rfam family "Bacterial small subunit ribosomal RNA", at positions 355 to 776 of the family's 1533-position model. The record is from RNAcentral. Lineage: Bacteria; Pseudomonadati; Verrucomicrobiota.